AGAGUGAACGCUGGCGGUAGGCCUAACACAUGCAAGUCGAACGGCAGCACAGUGGUAGCAAUACCAUGGGUGGCGAGUGGCGGACGGGUGAGGAAUACAUCGGAAUCUACCUUUUCGUGGGGGAUAACGUAGGGAAACUUACGCUAAUACCGCAUACGCCCUUCGGGGGAAAGCCGGGGAUCGCAAGACCUGGCGCGGAUAGAUGAGCCGAUGUCGGAUUAGCUAGUUGGUGAGGUAAUGGCUCACCAAGGCGACGAUCCGUAGCUGGUCUGAGAGGAUGAUCAGCCACACUGGAACUGAGACACGGUCCAGACUCCUACGGGAGGCAGCAGUGGGGAAUAUUGGACAAUGGGCGCAAGUCCGAUCCAGCCAUACCGCGUGGGUGAAGAAGGCCUUCGGGUUGUAAAGCCCUUUUGUUGGAAAGUAAAAGCAAUCGGUUAAUACCCGGUUGUUCUGACGUACCCAAAGAAUAAGCACCGGCUAACUUCGCGUCAGUCAGCCGCGUAAUCUA
RNAcentral lists this ribosomal RNA (511 nucleotides) under uncultured soil bacterium. Its description in RNAcentral is "bacterial SSU rRNA". It matches the Rfam family "Bacterial small subunit ribosomal RNA", at positions 26 to 525 of the family's 1533-position model. The record is from RNAcentral.